UAGUGAGACUGUUCUGAAAAA
This 21-nucleotide non-coding RNA is filed under the name Caenorhabditis elegans. Lineage: Eukaryota; Metazoa; Nematoda; Chromadorea; Rhabditida; Rhabditidae. The record is from RNAcentral.